GACGAACGCUGGCGGCGUGCUUAACACAUGCAAGUCGAACGGAAAGGCCCUGCUUUUGUGGGGUGCUCGAGUGGCGAACGGGUGAGUAACACGUGAGUAACCUGCCCUUGACUUUGGGAUAACUUCAGGAAACUGGGGCUAAUACCGGAUAGGAGCUCCUGCUGCAUGGUGGGGGUUGGAAAGUUUCGGCGGUUGGGGAUGGACUCGCGGCUUAUCAGCUUGUUGGUGGGGUAGUGGCUUACCAAGGCUUUGACGGGUAGCCGGCCUGAGAGGGUGACCGGCCACAUUGGGACUGAGAUACGGCCCAGACUCCUACGGGAGGCAGCAGUGGGGAAUAUUGCACAAUGGGCGGAAGCCUGAUGCAGCAACGCCGCGUGCGGGAUGACGGCCUUCAGGUUGUAAACCGCUUUCGCCUGUGACGAAGCGCGAGUGACGGUAAUGGGUAAAGAAGCACCGGCUAACUACGUG
This 468-nucleotide ribosomal RNA is filed under the name uncultured bacterium. RNAcentral's name for it is "partial 16S ribosomal RNA". It matches the Rfam family "Bacterial small subunit ribosomal RNA", at positions 28 to 507 of the family's 1533-position model. The record is from RNAcentral.